AUUAAUAAAAAUAGUAAUAAUAAUAAUAUAUAGAUAUAGACUCAUGUAGGACAAAAUAAGAAUCUAGAGAGUGUAUAUAGCCAUGUUUGAUGACUUCUCUUCUCCGGCGAUAACCCCUUCACAUCAUACAUCAGGCUUCUUCAGUACUAUAAUUUUAGCCUUAUUAGUUAAUUUUUUUAAAGAAAUUUUUUACUUUCCUAUAAUAUCACUGGAUACUCCCUUUUCACUCACAAACAACUUUCUUUCUUUUUUUAUAACUCUCCAGCAGUUACUUGCCUAUAAAUAUCACUGUAUCCUCCCUUUUCACUCACAAACAACUUUCUUCCUCUUUUAUAACUCCAGCAAUAGUUCUUCUUUGAGAAGUUAUUCGCUGGUAGGAACAGUAAAGAAGGAGCUUUUGUCAAAGAGAAGAAAGAAGCAUUUUGAGGUACGGUAUUGGACUUUCAACAAUGGUGGUAGAGUAAGCUUUGAUAUUUGAGUCAAAGGGUGGCCCUAGCCCUUUCUAAAUCCAUUAAUUUUAUAAUCCGAUACACCGAUUUCAUAUUAGUAGAAAGAUAUUCUCUCUAAUAUUCUUAUUUUGUGAUUGAAAUUAUAGUAUAUCCUAUUUAAAAAUUCUGCAGAGUGAUACUAUGUUGAAAGUGGUAACAUGUUGAUGUUGGGAAAUUAUAUAAAUUUCUUAUAUUUAGAUUUGUGAGAAACAAAAUAAA
Long non-coding RNA from Glycine soja, 707 nucleotides. RefSeq lists it as uncharacterized. The transcript has 2 exons. Lineage: Eukaryota; Viridiplantae; Streptophyta; Magnoliopsida; Fabales; Fabaceae. The record is from RefSeq and is a predicted model, not a curated record.